This 53-nucleotide transfer RNA is filed under the name Boana albopunctata (spotted treefrog). Its description in RNAcentral is "partial tRNA-Tyr". Lineage: Eukaryota; Metazoa; Chordata; Amphibia; Anura; Hylidae. The record is from RNAcentral.
UGAUAAGAAGAGGACUUAAACCUCUGUUGAUGGGGCUACAACCCACCGCCUAA